UUAAAGGAGGGAGCAAGGAGACAGUCCUAUCUGUUCCUGCUCAUUCAUUGCAAUCUCUCCGUGGCUUUCUGUUCUAGUGACAGUCCCAACAUACACAAACGUAUUUUGCAAGUGGGAUUUUGUGCAACACUGUAUCAAAUGUAUUACAAUUGCCAUUCUAGACAUAUUACAUCAGCUACAUUGCUUUCAUCUGUAAAUCUUGUAAUUCCAUCAAAAAAGCAAUCAAGUUGUCUAUGGAAUGAUUUGUUCUUCACAAACACCUGGUGAUUAUGGCUCUUGGUUCCAUUAUCCCAUGGACGCUUUCAGAUUUCCACCUCUCCUUCCUCCAUUAUUUACUGGGGAUUCAAGAUGUGCACAGAUAAUUCAAAUUUACCGUGUUUCACUGAUUAUUUUAUAAUGCCAUUAAAUAGGAAUAUAGUACUGUAUUUCACAAAUGAGGAAGUUAAAAACAAAGAAAUGCAUGAAUUGAAGUUGCAGUGAUCCAACCAUGAUUUUCCCUGGAACUGAAAACUUGGUUUUAACAGAGCCAACUUUGCCCAUCCUUUUCUUUGAGGUCUCCCAAGCCCUUCCGAUUCAGUGAAUUUGUAAAUGACCGCCACACCUUGUCUGCCCACAUCAAACCAAAGCCUUUAGAGUAGAGCUCUUCUCAAUGUAUUUGCUUAAAUUGUAGCCACAAUGUUUCAUACCUUCCCCCUUUUGUACAAUUUGGGAACAUUCAAAUAUUGUAAUUUACGCAAUCACCGAGGCAGAACGUGUCAGAGUGCACGGAAGACACGUAGCCCUCGGUCCAAACUGUGAAGGGGAUCGAGCUGCAGUGCUCAGAGGAUGGUUCCAUGUGGCCAGCUCUGCUGCCCUCGCCCAGGGGCGCAGCACUGUGAGGCGCGUCUUAGGGGAUGACGGUGAUGAACAAUCACACAUUUAUCAAAUACCUACCAUACGCCAGACACUGGAGAUACAAAGAUCGUCAAGACCUGAUCCUUUCCCCAAAGCUCACCUUUUAGAGAGCGAUGGACAUGCAAGCAGAUCAGUGCAGAGGUGGUGGAGGCCCUGCAAUGGAAAAUCCUGAAUUGUGGAGUGGGGCAUGCGAUUCUCCCCAGAGGCGUCACAGAGAAUUUGACACAUUGAGUUCUCGGGUUGUCUCUUUCUAGAAGGUGGCCUGGCAAGUUGAAGUCAUGGCAAAGAUUCUCCAAGUUCUAACCACGUACUUGAGGCAAUAAGGUGGUUCUGACUGUGAUCUCUUACCGAACAAAGCAAUGAUCUAGUUUAUUGGAUCCUUAGCAAGUAAGAAUGUGCAUUUCCGGGCUUGUGACGUCUACUGUGAAGAUCAUGGUCAGCACCGGGAGGCAGGGAAUGGAGACAAUGUCCUUCAGUUCAAAGUAGAAGAAAUCCUAGGUCUCUGGGGAUAGAAUGAAAACUCCUCCCACUUACUCCUGUUCUGUUCAGGAGAAAAUCCAUCAGCAGCAGUCGCUGGCAUUGACUCAAUAUCCGGAGUAAUAAGAGCAUAAAAGGUAACAAUAAAGGGAAACGAAUACUUUGGAGAAUUGUAUAAUCUAGGGAUUUCAGCAGCUAUGUUAAAUUAUUUACCAAAUGUUUUUGAGGGUCAGGGCUUGCAAAGAAUUUCGUGACAACAAUGUACUGGUAGCAAGUUUGUGUGGAGGGUGUUGUCCAAUAACGCGUAUGUGUGUUCAUAUGUGUACAUAUAUGUGCAUGCCUGUGUGUGUCAUUUAACUGUUUCAAAUAGAACAUGUGAUGUAUACAUGCCACCAUAAUUUACCUAAGACGCUUCACCUAAUCUCGUACGAUCAGGCUCUCUUUCACAUUACACACUCGUAUCUAAAAUCAUGCACGUUCUACAGUUGUUUACUUAUGCUAGCUCCAAAAUGGGUAAGGUUGAACUCUUUCCCUAAAGCACACUAUAAAUUUUCACAUGAUAGCAUUUUAAUAGAAUUUCAAGUAUUUGUAGGUCACUAGCAAGCUGUCCUAACUUUUAAAAGGCGAGUAAAUUGAACGUGUUAUUCAAAUCAUGAAUUCCUGAAGACUCACUGAGUUGGUUGUUCCUGGUCAUCAUCCUGGAGCAUGCUGUGCAUUUUAAUUUGCCUAAGGAAUGUGCCUGAAGGAAAUAUUUGGCCGUUAACACUAUAAAAACUUUAUCAGAUAACUGGGCACUGGCUUCAUAAAGGAGACGUAGCAAUCAUAAGAAAAGUCAAAAGUUCCAAUUAGAAUAUAUAAAUAACGUCUAUGGAAUGGGAGGCAAGUCAUGAGUUCUUCAGCCUUCCAGCCCUGAGGAGAACGUGUCCCUUGAUUUCCCUCUGCUUGCACACUGGACUCCCUGUCUGCGUUAGGGAGAUCCACUGAGGACCCCAAAUUGAUGCUCCUUCCUGCACCGGGGAAAGUUUAGGAGAGUGACUCUGCCAUGUGGAGGGUACACAAAGGCUACAGGGGAUGGCCUCCCCACAGUCCUGGAAUCCUGGCACACAGGAUGGCACAGGGAUUUGAGAAGCUGUCAGCAUGAAAAAAGGAUACCAUUUCUCAUCUUCCUCAAAUAGGAUCGUUAUAGCGUGCUAUCAUCACACUCUUUGAAAUGAAUUCUGAGGAAUUAAGACACAUUAUUCACAUGCGAGCACAAAAAUCUUUCCGAGACAAAUACUGGUGAGGAUGCGGAGAAAUUAGAACUCUCAGCCAUUGUUGGUGGGAAUGUAAAAUGGUGCAGCCACUUUGGAAAACACUUUGGCAGUUCCUCAAAAUGUUAAACAUGGUGUUAGCAUGUGAUCCAGCAAUGCUGCCCCUGGGUAUAUACCCAAGAGAAUUGAAAAUUUACGUCUAUGCAAAAACUCGUACGCAAAUGUUCUUAUCAGCAUUUUUCAUAAUAGCCAAAUUGGAAAUAACCCAAACGUUCAUCAACAGAUGGAUAGAUAAACAAAAUGUGGUAUAUUUGCACGAUAAAAUACUCGAUAUUUUAUGAAAAGAAUGAAGUUCUGAUACAUGCUACAACAUGGAUGAACCUUGAAAAUAUUAUGUUAAGUGAAAGAAGUAAUACCAACAGGCCACAUGUUGUGAUAUUUCAUUUCUACGAAACGUCCAGAAUAGGCAAACCCACAGACACAAAAAGUGGAUUAGCGGUUUCCAGUGGCUUGGGAGGGCACUGGAGGGAAAGGGGCACUGCCUGUGGGUGUGUUUCAUUUUGGGGUGAUGACAAUCACACAAUGGCAAUGGUUUCACAACUCUGUGUAUAUAUUUUAAAACCCACUGAAUUGUACACUUUAAAAGAGUGAAUUUUAUGAUUUUGAACUAUAUUUCAAUAAAGCUGUUAUAAAAAAAGUCUUCUUGAGCCGCUUUAGAUAGUCCAAGCCUGGAAACUCUGUAAAGGAUCAAGAUUUAAUAGUUAUUUUGAGAUGUGUUAUAGCCUGAAGAUGAAAUCAAAUGUCUUUUAAGAUAAACAAAGACAACAAAACAAUGAGAAGUUAUUUUUUCACAUGUGUUGGAAUUUCAUGUUUUCAAACAUCUGAAGGGAAUCAUCCAUAAAAUGAAUCACAAUGAUAAUAGAUAUGUUUUCGCAAUGCUUUCACAGAUGGUCUUAUUCAAACACAUUCCGGGUGAUGAUAAAUACAGAAGCUUAUGGAGUUACGCACUGUGAGACUCUGGAUUGGAGCUGAGACCAGCGAGCAAGUUCUCAGAGGGAGCAUUUUUACAUGUCUUUGUAUUUUCCAGGGCCUGGAGGAGGUGUUACUUGGAGGAAGAAUUAAACCGGUUCCCAUUUUAGAGUUGUCCCUUUCUGACGGGGCACCUUCAACCAGCAGUGAAAUAAAUAUCCUUAUAUUUCUGAGAUAAUACAAUUUUAAAGAAUAGCCUACUCCGGGAUGUGGUAGAUCCUUGACAAAUAUUUCAUGAAAGAAUGUAGGAAGUAAUAAAUACAUGAAUGGAUAAAUAUGGAGCACGUACUAGUGGAUAUAAGAGUGGGGCUCCCCACUGCACUUUUAAAGUUUGCUGCUUCUUUCGCCUCCAAUAUAAGCUUCGGAAUUUUGAAGCAUUUUUAAGAAAUGAAAUGAUCCUAAAAUAUUUGUGGUCUGGUUUAUGCGCAGAGUACGUCCCAAAGGGUUCUCUUGUUUCCUAACUACAUAGUCAGUGAUGCUAAGAACUUUAAAUAUAAUGACAUGACAAUGUGCUGUAGCCCUCCAAACCAAAAUGAGAACAAUGUUUCCUGAAAAGCAUCCUGGAAAGUGAUUAUUUUGGAGUGAAAUCUAGUUCUCAUUACAUCAUCUGAUUAUAAAAUACUUUUAUAGGAAUUAAAGGGAUAUUGAGACAACGACUUUUCAUCCAUCUUUAACUAUUGGUUUUCCCUCACAAGCCCAGGAAAACCAAUAUUCCCUAUGAAUAUAUGUGCUUUAAAAUGUCCCCAAUAGGAAAGCAAUUAGAAACAUAUACUGGUUGCAGGGGUGAAGGGCAAGGGGAAUAUUGUUUCUGGAUAUUAUCACAGUCUUUAUCGAGAUUCUGUGACACUUUGGGUCACUUGUCACUUCUGAAAACAUUUUUAAGCAAAAAUCAGCAGUCUUCUCUCAUGUUAUUGAAUCAGCCUAGAUUAUAGUUAUUGGAAUCUGAUGAUUUGUUAAUUUAAAGAACAUGAAAGUCAUCAUUAGACUUUCUUUAAGAUAACCAACAAUGACUCGAUCCACACCAGCCAUUAUCUCCAUCAACAUGUAUUUAUGAGGUCAGAGCUCAUAGCCCGGGAGGGCAGAAAUGGCAGUUCAAGUCAAUUGAUUUUUAAACAUUUUGAGAAUUCCUUACUGAUUUAUUUACAUGGACUUGCACAUUCUGAGAUCAGAUAAGAAGUAAGUACAUCAGAUUUCUCAUGGGUAAAUUGUUAACUUAAAGGAAAUGGUAUGAAAAUAUUACAAUAUUAGCCAAUAGCACACAUAGUGCUUUACAUGUAGAAAAAUAUUAUAGUCUGUCAACUCUCUUAAAUUCUUCUAGAAUUAACCCUUAUUCUCUUUUUGACCAAUAAUGCAGCACCUUUUUCCCAUCCUUUGACAGCUCAUCAUAACUCAUAACAAAAUGAGAUCUCCAUCACCUCCAUUCUCAGCCGUUUCUCCAACUAAUCCUGUUCGUGGACUCCCCUGUCUAGCCAAACUCUCUAAAUUAAUUCUUGGGCCUCUGACUUUACUGCCUCUAUUUCUUCUUCCUGGCAUUUUCUUCCAUCAAAAUCUUACUAAUCAUUCCUUAACUCCAAAUCUAUUUAUUCUGUAAGAUGGUCUCUGAAUAAUAGAUUACAAGUAUGUAACCCUGCUCUGAACGCUUAACAAUUAUUAUCUGUAUCAGACACGUGGCAUACACAUUUACAACUUUGUUUUGAAGCUAAAUGUGAGCAUGUCCAUGCCCAUGUAAGGUUCUGAAUUCCUGGAGUUCCCAGACCACCCUGAUUGAUUUUCACAGGGUCCUUCACCCACGGCAGCCUUGCAGUGAACGCCAGACGACGGCACGGGAGCAGGAGCAGAGAUGAAAACGGAGGCGGUUGCUGGUCUUGGAGGUGUCUGCGUGGUGAAUGAUUAGACCAGCACAGUGACACGCCUGCUCUUCCUCUGACCUGUGCCGUCGUUUUGGAAGUCGAGGUCCUCUGGUCACUAAGUAAUCAGAUGUAUGGAUACACUCCCUUGAGGUGCACUUGCGAAGGACUUUGAUCGUCACACACAAAGCAAAGACGAGGACAGAUCUGCUGCCAGCCUGCUCUUGUUUUUUGCAAAAGGACAGACUUCAUGUAACACUUUUUGGUUGCAAAAUGGCCAUCUAUUGCUCGAAAUAGUGUUUAAAAUUUCACUUUAGAAUGCUUACGAGUAACCCAGGAUGAAUAUAGUUAUCUUAAGGUGAAAAUAAAUUAGAUUUUGUAAA
Non-coding RNA from Equus caballus (horse), 5880 nucleotides. NCBI's taxonomy places the organism in Eukaryota, Metazoa, Chordata, Mammalia, Perissodactyla, Equidae. The record is from RefSeq and is a predicted model, not a curated record.